Molecule: ribosomal RNA, 440 nt
Filed under: uncultured bacterium
Lineage: Bacteria
Description: partial 16S ribosomal RNA
Rfam family: Bacterial small subunit ribosomal RNA
Source: RNAcentral
CCUACGGGUGGCAGCAGUAGGGAAUAUUGCUCAAUGGGGGAAACCCUGAAGCAGCAACGCCGCGUGGAGGAUGAAGGUUCUAGGAUUUUUAAAUCCCUUUUAUAGAGAAGAUAAUUACGGCAUCUGACGUAUAAGCACCGUCUAACUCCGUUCCAGCAGCCGCGGUAAUGCGCAGGGAGCAAGCGUUACUCGGAAUCACUGGGCGUAAAGAGUGCGCAGGCGGGAUUGUAAGUGGGGUGUGAAAGCCUGGAGCUUAACUACAGAACUGCAGUUGCAACUAGGAGUCUAGAGUGUGGGGGAGGUAGGCGGAAUUCGUGGUGUAGGGGUGAAAUGCGUAGAUAUCAAGAGGAACACUCAUUGCGAAGGCAGCUUACGGAUCCGCGAUUGACGCUGAUGCACGAAGGCGAGGGUAUCGAACAGGAUUAGAUACCCGGGUAGUC